CCUACGGGAGGCAGCAGUGGGGAAUUUUGGACAAUGGGCGCAAGUCUGAUCCAGCAAUGCCGCGUGAGUGAAGAAGGCCUUCGGGUUGUAAAGCUCUUUUGUCAGGGAAGAAACGGUGGGGAAUAAUACUUCCUGCUAAUGACGGUACCUGAAGAAUAAGCACCGGCUAACUACGUGCCAGCAGCCGCGGUAAUACGUAGGGUGCAAGCGUUAAUCGGAAUUACUGGGCGUAAAGCGUGCGCAGGCGGUUGUGCAAGACAGAUGUGAAAUCCCCGGGCUCAACCUGGGAAUUGCAUUUGUGACUGCACGGCUAGAGUGUGUCAGAGGGGGGUAGAAUUCCACGUGUAGCAGUGAAAUGCGUAGAGAUGUGGAGGAAUACCGAUGGCGAAGGCAGCCCCCUGGGAUAACACUGACGCUCAUGCACGAAAGCGUGGGGAGCAAACAGGAUUAGAUACCCUGGUAGUCCACGCCCUAAACGAUGUCUACUAGUUGUCGGGUCUUAAAUUGACUUGGUAACGCAGCUACGCGUGAGUAGACCGCCGUGGGAGGUACGGUCGCGAGAGUAAACGUACGAAAGAAAGUUAGACGGCGUGAGACGUAGACCGACGGACGACGACGAGGGGAGGAGGG
This 630-nucleotide ribosomal RNA is filed under the name uncultured bacterium. Its description in RNAcentral is "bacterial SSU rRNA". The stretch from base 1 to 541 matches the Rfam family "Bacterial small subunit ribosomal RNA", at positions 338 to 873 of the family's 1533-position model. The record is from RNAcentral.